AAGAGACGUUGCCCUUCGGGGUAUACCUCCCACCCUUUGCUUGUUAUACCUUUGUUGCUUUGGCGGGCCCGUCCUCGGACCACCGGCUUCUGCUGGUCAGUGCCCGCCAGAGGACCUAAAACUCUGUUUGUUAAUAUUGUCUGAGUACUAUAUAAUAGUUA
RNAcentral lists this unclassified non-coding RNA (161 nucleotides) under soil metagenome. Its description in RNAcentral is "partial internal transcribed spacer 1". The record is from RNAcentral.